ACCCCCUUAGUAUAAAUAUUACAUUACCUUUUCGAGGUAAAAAAGAGAGUACUCUCAGGGAGUAUUAUUUAGGGAAUA
This 78-nucleotide transfer RNA is filed under the name Thermobia domestica (firebrat). Its description in RNAcentral is "tRNA-Glu". Lineage: Eukaryota; Metazoa; Arthropoda; Insecta; Zygentoma; Lepismatidae. The record is from RNAcentral.